RNAcentral lists this ribosomal RNA (514 nucleotides) under Anoxybacillus ayderensis. RNAcentral describes it as "bacterial LSU rRNA". It matches the Rfam family "Bacterial large subunit ribosomal RNA", at positions 2307 to 2820 of the family's 2925-position model. The record is from RNAcentral. Lineage: Bacteria; Bacillati; Bacillota; Bacilli; Caryophanales; Anoxybacillaceae.
CGCCCAAAGGUUCCCUCAGAAUGGUUGGAAAUCAUUCGUAGAGUGUAAAGGCAGAAGGGAGCUUGACUGCGAGACCUACAAGUCGAGCAGGGACGAAAGUCGGGCUUAGUGAUCCGGUGGUUCCGAAUGGAAGGGCCAUCGCUCAACGGAUAAAAGCUACCCCGGGGAUAACAGGCUUAUCUCCCCCAAGAGUCCACAUCGACGGGGAGGUUUGGCACCUCGAUGUCGGCUCAUCGCAUCCUGGGGCUGUAGUCGGUCCCAAGGGUUGGGCUGUUCGCCCAUUAAAGCGGUACGCGAGCUGGGUUCAGAACGUCGUGAGACAGUUCGGUCCCUAUCCGUCGCGGGCGUAGGAAAUUUGAGAGGAGCUGUCCUUAGUACGAGAGGACCGGGAUGGACGCACCGCUGGUGUACCAGUUGUUCCGCCAGGAGCACAGCUGGGUAGCUAUGUGCGGAAGGGAUAAGCGCUGAAAGCAUCUAAGCGUGAAGCCCCCCUCAAGAUGAGAUUUCCCAUCGC